This 459-nucleotide ribosomal RNA is filed under the name Hemiculter leucisculus (sharpbelly). RNAcentral describes it as "partial 12S ribosomal RNA". It matches the Rfam family "Bacterial small subunit ribosomal RNA", at positions 750 to 1415 of the family's 1533-position model. Lineage: Eukaryota; Metazoa; Chordata; Actinopteri; Cypriniformes; Xenocyprididae. The record is from RNAcentral.
UAUUUAAAAGCUUCAAACUGGGAUUAGAUACCCCACUAUGCUCAGCCAUAAACCUAGACAUCCAGCUACAAUUAGAUGUCCGCCCGGGUACUACGAGCAUCAGCUUGAAACCCAAAGGACCUGACGGUGCCUCAGACCCCCCUAGAGGAGCCUGUUCUAGAACCGAUAACCCCCGUUAAACCUCACCACUUCUAGCCAUCCCAGCCUAUAUACCGCCGUCGUCAGCUUACCCUGUGAAGGCAAUAAAAGUAAGCAAAAUGGGCACAACCCAGAACGUCAGGUCGAGGUGUAGCGUACGAAGUGGGAAGAAAUGGGCUACAUUUUCUAUCACAGAACACUACGAAUAUGCAACAUGAAAUAGUGCUUGAAGGAGGAUUUAGUAGUAAAAAGGAAGCAGAGUGUCCUUUUGAACCCGGCUCUGAGGCGCGUACACACCGCCCGUCACCCUCUGCAGUCAAA